This 82-nucleotide transfer RNA is filed under the name Octopus vulgaris (common octopus). It matches the Rfam family "tRNA". From Rfam's summary of the family: Transfer RNA (tRNA) molecules are approximately 80 nucleotides in length. Their secondary structure includes four short double-helical elements and three loops (D, anti-codon, and T loops). The record is from Rfam by way of RNAcentral. RNAcentral also lists the same sequence under 1 other name. Lineage: Eukaryota; Metazoa; Mollusca; Cephalopoda; Octopoda; Octopodidae.
GCUGUGGUGGCCGAGUGGUUAAGGCGUUGGACUUGAAAUCCAAUGGGUUAUGCCCGCGCAGGUUCGAAUCCUGCCCGCAGCG